GAAAAACUGCAAAGCUAUAGCCAAAGUGAAACUUGUUUUCCUCUGUUUUGUAGUUUGACGUGGGUUGUUCUCUUUCUCUUUCUCUUGCUUUCCCUCUUACUCUAGAAUCAAUUACUUAACAACUAAUGGUAAUACAAAGGACCAUUAGAGAUUCUGCUGCGCUCAUGGCCCACUAUGGAAGUGCUUAUCUAUUGGUUUGAAUGAAAUGACGCGGU
RNAcentral lists this unclassified non-coding RNA (215 nucleotides) under Hevea brasiliensis (rubber tree). Lineage: Eukaryota; Viridiplantae; Streptophyta; Magnoliopsida; Malpighiales; Euphorbiaceae. The record is from RNAcentral.